AACUUUUCACAGCACGGGCUUUACGCAUAGCAGUGAAGAUUCGUCUGAGCUUGCGUUUUUGCUAGUUGAAAACUAUCAACUGACUGCUCCUGAUGGUCUUCGGAUCGCCAGGGAAUUUUUGGCAUACCACAUGAGGA
The sequence is a small nuclear RNA, 137 nucleotides long. It matches the Rfam family "U4 spliceosomal RNA". From Rfam's summary of the family: U4 small nuclear RNA (U4 snRNA) is a component of the major U2-dependent spliceosome. The structure of U4 snRNA from yeast and human has been reported. The record is from Rfam.